CCUACGGGUGGCUGCAGUGGGGAAUAUUGGACAAUGGGCGAAAGCCUGAUCCAGCCAUGCCGCGUGUGUGAAGAAGGCCUUCGGGUUGUAAAGCACUUUCAGUGGGGAAGAAAGCCUUGGGGCUAAUACCCUCGAGGAAGGACAUCACCCACAGAAGAAGCACCGGCUAACUCCGUGCCAGCAGCCGCGGUAAUACGGAGGGUGCGAGCGUUAAUCGGAAUUACUGGGCGUAAAGCGCGCGUAGGCGGUCUGAUAAGCCGGUUGUGAAAGCCCCGGGCUCAACCUGGGAACGGCAUCCGGAACUGUCAGGCUAGAGUGCAGGAGAGGAAGGUAGAAUUCCCGGUGUAGCGGUGAAAUGCGUAGAGAUCGGGAGGAAUACCAGUGGCGAAGGCGGCCUUCUGGACUGACACUGAAGCUGAGGUGCGAAAGCGUGGGUAGCAAACAGGAUUAGAUACCCUUGUAGUC
RNAcentral lists this ribosomal RNA (465 nucleotides) under Vreelandella stevensii. RNAcentral describes it as "partial 16S ribosomal RNA". It matches the Rfam family "Bacterial small subunit ribosomal RNA", at positions 338 to 795 of the family's 1533-position model. Lineage: Bacteria; Pseudomonadati; Pseudomonadota; Gammaproteobacteria; Oceanospirillales; Halomonadaceae. The record is from RNAcentral.